Sander lucioperca (pikeperch) is the source of this 617-nucleotide long non-coding RNA. RefSeq lists it as uncharacterized. NCBI's taxonomy places the organism in Eukaryota, Metazoa, Chordata, Actinopteri, Perciformes, Percidae. The transcript has 3 exons. The record is from RefSeq and is a predicted model, not a curated record.
AUUUAUGACAGGCUGACCUCAGUAAACACAUGAACUAUGACCAAGGUCUCAUACUAAGCAGGAGAUAUGGCUCUCUCAGUCUCAGUCAUGGCUUUAAAAGUGAGCAGCUGAGCUCUUUAGACAGGUUGUUAGGUGUUUGAGACUCAUACAGGCUGAGCAGUGAAGCGGUGAGUGAACAGUGAUUCCAGGCAGCAGAUAAUCCUCUGAGGAGAAGAAGGACUUCCCACAUGGACUCCAACAGUGCUGGCAGCGUGCAAUAUGAUCGCUGGAACGAGGACAACAUCAACAUGAAAGUCGAUGCACCACAGUCUACUGUGAUGAGGAUCUACGACACAGUGUGUAACGGCAGCUAUGGAGUAGCAGUGAAGGCUGCAGGAGCUUUGGCUGCACUGGUGUCCAUUUACGUCAUAGGAUACGUGACAGGAUACUACGUCCAUAGGUGCUGAUGGUGGAGCCCUGUCAGGAGAGAAAGGAGCUCGGAGAUUUGGGAUAAAUCACAAAUUAAAAAAAAGUUUUGUUAAAUAAAAAUCAACCAAAAAGUUGGUCUGUGUAGUACUUAUCAUUAUCACCUCUGUCCUCCCUCAGCCUCUUUGUCAUCAGAGCAGAAGUCUUUUUGU